This is a long non-coding RNA of Nomascus leucogenys (northern white-cheeked gibbon), 1461 nucleotides long. RefSeq lists it as uncharacterized. The record is from RefSeq and is a predicted model, not a curated record. Lineage: Eukaryota; Metazoa; Chordata; Mammalia; Primates; Hylobatidae. The transcript is spliced from 2 exons.
GCUAAGUAAAAGAGAACAUUAACUUCUAGUUUUGGCAGACAUUGUCAAAUUGCCCUCCCUAAGGGAGUCAUAGUUUUUUAAUUGUUAAAUGGUCUUAUUAUUUGUAGAUCAACAGAGAAGAAAUGAGUCAACGAUGGUGCAGGUGAUCUGUGCAGUGCUGUGCAGGGGAGGGGUCAAAGCUGUGAUGCUGGCAUGCAACUAACUCACCACUGUGAGCCAAUCACAAAAGCAGAAACUUGGCCAAGCUGGUUGUCUUUCUAGAAAGAAAGGGACCAGCUUGACGAAGCUUCUGCUUUUGUGACUGUCUCCUAAUGGUGAGUAUUGAGAAUUUCUUCUUACAGUCACAGCAGUGAAAAGGAACUUUUCAUCCAAAAAUUACAAAACAGAUUUAUGUUGAAAAUAAGGAGAACUUUGUUGGUGCCCUGGAAAAAUAUUUGAGAGAAGCAGAGAGUGAUUCCUUUUAUUGGGCCAGAGUGUAAAAGUCAGCUCAUUGGUCUCAAGGGAAGAAAAAGUUCUUUUCUUCAGUUGGCAAUUUGUUUUCAACGAAAGAUUUGGAAUGCCUUUUUCUUUUCUUUUUAAUAAAGGAAGGAUAUAGUUAGUUGACCAGGAAUUAGCUAGGGAUUAAGAAUCGGUUGGCUUGGCAAUAUUUCUACCUGCUUGCUGUGCAUAUACUUGAAUUAACAAUGGUCAAUAAUCAAAAGGGCAUUGAAAUGUGAGUUGGGCUGUGGAGGGACCGCCCCAAAUCUACUUCUCUGUAGUGUUGAACCCAGGGGCCUCACUUUGCCUCGCUGCAAUUCUGUGGUUUUUAAUUUAUCAUUUCCAGGAUCUGUGGGUUUCUUCAAGCUCCCAGACUUGCUCAGGCACAUUGCAAAUAGCCAUGAUUUGAGAUGAUUUUCUUUAAUGCUGAAGCAGAUGAAGAACCCAGGUUCUUUUUAGUGGCGAGGCUUGUUUAUCAGCAGCUAUAUAGCUAUGGGCACAGACACAGGUAAACAGCACAGACGCUGGGAGAGGGAUGGCAUCCAGACUCAGAAGAAGGCCAGCAUCUGACCGUGACCAUCACGCCCACGUGACAAAAGAUGUCACCAGAGUGAACAGUUCUGACCACAGUGGCCUUUCACCUGCUUCAUUAAAUUUAACUCACACCAGCUCAGAGGACAAUUUGAUUAAUUCUGUAUCUCAGCAGAAACCAGAGCACCUCAGAAGAUCAAGGCUUCCAAAUUCUCCUGGGGGAACAGACGUCAGCCACUCAGCACAAAGGCAACUUCCUUCUCUGUAUGUCAGAGGAAGACAUAAUUGUGCCAUUUCCUUCUUGAAGAAGUUUACAAACAUUUGCAAGUUGUCAAAAAUAAUUAGUCUAAAAUUGUUUCAUAAACCAUGGAAUGAAACAGUACGUGCCUUGUUGAGAUCAAAGGGCUUCUGUUACCUUCUUGUAAACCCAAAUGAAAUUCUUUUGAAAGUAAA